UACGGGGGGGAGCAAGCGUUGUUCGGAUUUACUGGGCGUAAAGGGCGCGUAGGCGGUCGUGACAAGUCACUUGUGAAAUCUCCGGGCUUAACUCGGAACGGUCAAGUGAUACUGUCGGACUAGAGUACAGAAGGGGCAACUGGAAUUCUCGGUGUAGCGGUGAAAUGCGUAGAUAUCGAGAGGAACACCUGCGGCGAAGGCGGGUUGCUGGGCUGAUACUGACGCUGAGGCGCGAAAGCGUGGGGAGCAAACAGG
Molecule: ribosomal RNA, 255 nt
Filed under: uncultured bacterium
Lineage: Bacteria
Description: partial 16S ribosomal RNA
Rfam family: Bacterial small subunit ribosomal RNA
Source: RNAcentral